RNAcentral lists this long non-coding RNA (421 nucleotides) under Scleropages formosus (Asian bonytongue). RNAcentral's name for it is "lncRNA (ENSSFOG00015027186.1)". Lineage: Eukaryota; Metazoa; Chordata; Actinopteri; Osteoglossiformes; Osteoglossidae. The record is from RNAcentral.
CUGGCGCACAUCUCACAAGGGGCAGGGUGGCGAGGCGGACGUUUCACAGCCGCUGCGACCGCGGCUUCCUCGCACUUCUGGGGGACGAAAUUGCAGCUGAGGUCCCCCCGCAAAGAGCACCCGAGAUACCUGUCUGCUGGACGGCCUCCGGGGCCGCGGGAGGGCUGGGGAGACGUGGUCGUGGUUGCGGCCUUGGCAAGGACAUUCAAGAAUUGGAAGAAUAUUGGGGUGAAACUGAACUGGGCCUGCACAGUCUCAUCUAAAGAAAUGUCUGCAGGACCAAUGCUGAAAGUAUCUUCUCUCUUUGAAAAUUUGAAACCAAAAUUUGGCAGGGGAAUUCUCACACAAGCCCUAUGCAAUUAACCCAGGCGCAGAGCUGCGCUUCAUCUGUUCUACUAGUACAAGAAACCCACGUAGCCUU